GACUGCUGACCCAGAGAUCUCCUACUCAUGUGGAAAUAAAUGAACUGAUUAGCAUCAAUGGGAAGAGCAGCAAUGACAGCAAGCUGUGGGACCUCCCCAGCUCCUCAGUGCCUGACAAUAUGGCUGGGAGGUUUCCCUCUGAAUGCUUUGGUGUGUGCAUAUCAGUUACCUCCUGUCCAGGUUGGCAUCUAUUGGAACUGCAUUUUGAUUUCCUGGUUUUAAGAAAAAAGUCCUUUUGUGGUGACUUGGUGACAAGCUGCAGUAAAGCAGCUCCUGGACUUCAUGGGGUACUGUCCUCUGAGACAGGGACUCUUCCAGAACUGCCCAUGUUGGUUAGUAAAGAGCCCUGCAAAAAUACACCUAGGACUCAGGUACGCAACAUUCCUGCAAGUCUCAGAAUGCAAAAGAGGGCAAAUCACUUAUUUGCACCCAAAUCUCUCAGUUGUCUUUGCAUAAAUGUCUCACUAAUCCUCCCAGUUCUCUGGUUAAGAGACCUUAAUUCAAGUCUACCACAUUAUAUCUCAUCAACAUUUUUCAUUUUUCCCCUCUGUCCUUCAGCUCUUGCGCCCAGCCUCUCAUCUCUUAAACGCUUCCCAUCACACCCAUCUUCCCUGUCUCACUUUCCUCUUUGCUUGUCAGUCGUUUCCUCAAAUAAGUCUCAUGCUCCAAAUUAAAAAAAGAAUAAAUAAAUAUAUAAAUAAAUAAAUAAAAUCACAGAGUGAAAGAUUUAUUCAGCAGCAAUAAAUCUAUUAUCUGGCACAUGAUAUGAGUAAGGUGAAGAAUCUUAUUCCUUUUGUAGUUUACUGCAUAUUGGAGUUACCAUGCAAAGUGAUAAAAUAAUUCUGCUGCCGGCAAAGGCACCAUCACGCAGCCAGUAUGAGUCACCAGCAAAAAGCAAAAGAAGUCAAAUAAAUAUAUGAUGCAUUGCCUGUACGUGGGGAGGCCUAAUGUGUGGAGAAGACAAAUAUUGAGGUCUCUGUCUGUUGGAAGACAGCACUGCUGUACCAACAGAGAUGACUACGCAACCAGCUAUGAAGAAGAGGUUGCACUUCACAUCGAGUUAUCUUCCUGUGGCAAGAAAUGGCAUAGGAUGUAACCCAAAAACCUUUAUGGACAUGAGGAUGGGGUCUACAGGCUACAGACAUGGUGACAAUGCAGAAGAUCUUGACAUCUACCUCACCUUUGAUGGGAGUGACUCCACUAAACCAAAGGCUAUUUGACUAGCUUCUACUGUAUCUGAUGUACUUACUUAUCGCCUCCACAAACUGUUCAAAGAAGCAGUAUGGGAACAGCGGCUCAGGCAGCUCUCUGAAAAACAUCUUGAGUGCUCCGGUGACAACGUGGAUGU
This is a long non-coding RNA of Oxyura jamaicensis (ruddy duck), 1348 nucleotides long. RefSeq lists it as uncharacterized. The record is from RefSeq and is a predicted model, not a curated record. The transcript has 3 exons. NCBI's taxonomy places the organism in Eukaryota, Metazoa, Chordata, Aves, Anseriformes, Anatidae.